Molecule: transfer RNA, 71 nt
Filed under: Acetobacter pomorum DSM 11825
Lineage: Bacteria; Pseudomonadati; Pseudomonadota; Alphaproteobacteria; Acetobacterales; Acetobacteraceae
Description: tRNA-Gln
Rfam family: tRNA
About the family: Transfer RNA (tRNA) molecules are approximately 80 nucleotides in length. Their secondary structure includes four short double-helical elements and three loops (D, anti-codon, and T loops).
Source: RNAcentral
UGGGGUAUAGCCAAGCGGUAAGGCAUCGGAUUUUGAUUCCGUAACCGGAGGUUCGAAUCCUCCUACCCCAG